AUGUUCGAUGUGGUUCCCCUGUCCGUUUGGCUCUUAGUGUUGUUUGCUUUUGGAUGUCUGUGUUUCCCCAGAACCUCAUCCACUCUCCGCACGUUCACUCAGCCACGGACCCUUACCUUCGGCUCUAUUCCCCGCAGUUCCGGUGCCACUCUCUCCUGCUGCCUACACGCCGACGUCAUCCGGAUUUCUCACCUUCUCUCCGUCAUCAACUGGAUUCCUCACCUCUUCACUCUCUCCACGGAUAAUCGUUGUCUCAUCUUCAUACUGUCCUUUCACCCACCGUCACAUAACGAUCUCACCACCAUGGAAGCAGUGAGCACCAAUACCCUCACCGACUUCAUGCACCACAGUGGUCAACGCAUGGAUCAGCAGCAGGACAGCAUCUCUAACACCGGGCGUGCUAUCCGAGCGCUGGUGGCACAGGUGUCAGAGCUCACCCAGCGGAUCCAUCAGCUCAAAUCUCCUAUUUCGCCCACCGCACCGCCUGUGCCGUCCAUCCCCCGGGAGGUUCCCCAGGACCACUUCCGGCCAGAGCCACAACUUCUGGCGGAGGUCCCAAGGACUGUGUUUGUACUGUGGAGGCUCUAAUCAUAACAUCAACUCAUGCCCGGUUAAAAGAGCCAGCCCGGUAGUAAAUUUGAGGCUACUAUCGGGUGGGAUCUCCGCUGAGAAGUCCUCAUCUACAUCAUCGACCCACCUUCCGGUGAAACUGCAGUGGAAGAAUCAACAUCAUGCGUGUCUUCUGGACUCCGGAGCCGAAGGUAAUUUCAUGGAUUCUACACUUGCACAUCACCUGAACAUUCCUGUCCUUCCUGUGUCUCUCCCCAUCCAUGUCACUGCACUCAACGGCCAGGAACUGCCUCACGUUACGCACCAUACAGAACCCAUCACACUGAUCACGUCUGGGAACCAUCAAGAAACCAUAUCCUUUUUUUCAUGGACUCCCCUGUUGCUCCCAUUGUUUUAGGUCACCCCUGGUUGUCCAAACAUAAUCCACGAGUGGAAUGGGGUUCUAACACUGUCACAUUGUGGAGUGAGAGUUGUCAUGAUUCUUGUCUGGUUUCUGCUUGUCCUGUUGUUCCUGUUUCUAUCUUUCAGAAGGAGACCAUGGUUUUGCCAAACGUGCCCGUUGAGUAUCUGGACCUGAAGGAAGUGUUCAGUAAGUCCCGUGCUGCUUCUCUUCCUCCGCAUCGUCCCUAUGACUGAGCCAUAGACUUAGUGUCAGGUAAGUCUCCGCCUAAGGGCAAGUUAUACUCACUUUCUAUUCCUGAGAGGGAGGCCAUGGAGAAAUAUAUUUCUGAUUCCUUAGCCUCUGGGUUCAUCCGUCCUUCCUCUUCUCCAGCGGGAGCGGGUUUCUUUUUGUGGAUAAGAAGGAUGGUUCGCUGUGACCUUGCAUUGAUUACCGAGAGUGGAACAAAAUUACUAUUAAGAAUACUUAUCCUUUACCACUCAUGUCUUCAGCUUUCGAGAGGUUGCAGGGAGCAUCUAUAUUUACAAAAUGGGAUUUACGUAAUGCUUAUCAUUUGGUCUGCAUCAGGAAGGGGGAUGAAUGGAAAACCGUCUUUAACCCUUUCGAGUCGAUUAACGCAUAUAUGCAUUUUGAGUCAUUUUCUCCUGAUAACCCCAAUCUGUAAAGGGUGUAGUUUUUUUGGGAUACAGACAUAAUAACAAAAAACCUUUGUGCACUUAUAAAAUUAAGAUAACAAACAAGGUGCGCUGUCUGCAGACUUUGUCUGAGCUGAUCGUCAUGUACAAACACGUCAUUAAAAUGAACUGUAACUCCGUGAAUUCUCAACGAAGAGACAUGAAAGAGAUAUCUAUAGAAAGCCUGACAUGUCUACCUUUAAACUAAACAAGUGCUGCCAAAAACAAAUAUUCUGAGAAAAAGUAAUCCAUAUGAAAAUAACGCGAUGUACAUUUUUCACUUCUACAUUCAUUAUAUCUAAUGUGACCACGCCCCCGCACUUAACGCGCUAUUCAGAUUCAAACUGAAGUGCGCGGCUUGAAUACACCCACACAGAAGAAAAAGCAGCCAGACUGUUCAAGUUUUUAUUUUAUUUUACUGUUUGCUUUGCGAUGAGAGGAAUAAGACAUAAUUCACCCCAAAAAUAUGUGAUGUGGUUGAGGAUUUGAGAUAUGGAUUUCCUCAGAAAAAAGAAUGAAGCACUUUAUUCAGCAGAGAUCAUAAACAUGAGUAAGUCUCUUUUUAUUUAUUUAUAUACUUGUACUAGUUUUCACAUAACGUGUAAACAUUUUACUAGUUAGACUUUUUCCAAAUACUUUUUCCAAACUAUAAUUCCUGACUAAAUGUAUAAUCAAGUGAAACAUUAUGAAGUUUCAAUAACAAUAUACAAUACUAUACUAUUCAAAAGCUUGAUGUA
Carassius auratus (goldfish) is the source of this 2381-nucleotide long non-coding RNA. The record is from Ensembl. Lineage: Eukaryota; Metazoa; Chordata; Actinopteri; Cypriniformes; Cyprinidae.